RNAcentral lists this ribosomal RNA (2901 nucleotides) under Klebsiella pneumoniae. RNAcentral's name for it is "23S ribosomal RNA". It matches the Rfam family "Bacterial large subunit ribosomal RNA". The record is from RNAcentral. Lineage: Bacteria; Pseudomonadati; Pseudomonadota; Gammaproteobacteria; Enterobacterales; Enterobacteriaceae.
GGUUAAGCGACUAAGCGUACACGGUGGAUGCCCUGGCAGUCAGAGGCGAUGAAGGACGUGCUAAUCUGCGAAAAGCGUCGGUAAGGUGAUAUGAACCGUUAUAACCGGCGAUGUCCGAAUGGGGAAACCCAGUGUGAUUCGUCACACUAUCGUUAACUGAAUACAUAGGUUAACGAGGCGAACCGGGGGAACUGAAACAUCUAAGUACCCCGAGGAAAAGAAAUCAACCGAGAUUCCCCCAGUAGCGGCGAGCGAACGGGGAGCAGCCCAGAGUCUGAAUCAGCUUGUGUGUUAGUGGAACGGUCUGGAAAGUCCGACGGUACAGGGUGAUAGUCCCGUACACCAAAAUGCACAGGUUGUGAACUCGAAGAGUAGGGCGGGACACGUGGUAUCCUGUCUGAAUAUGGGGGACCAUCCUCCAAGGCUAAAUACUCCUGACUGACCGAUAGUGAACCAGUACCGUGAGGGAAAGGCGAAAAGAACCCCGGCGAGGGGAGUGAAAAAGAACCUGAAACCGUGUACGUACAAGCAGUGGGAGCACCUUCGGGUGUGACUGCGUACCUUUUGUAUAAUGGGUCAGCGACUUAUAUUCUGUAGCAAGGUUAACCGUAUAGGGGAGCCGCAGGGAAACCGAGUCUUAACUGGGCGUUAAGUUGCAGGGUAUAGACCCGAAACCCGGUGAUCUAGCCAUGGGCAGGUUGAAGGUUGGGUAACACUAACUGGAGGACCGAACCGACUAAUGUUGAAAAAUUAGCGGAUGACUUGUGGCUGGGGGUGAAAGGCCAAUCAAACCGGGAGAUAGCUGGUUCUCCCCGAAAGCUAUUUAGGUAGCGCCUCGUGAAUUCAUCUUCGGGGGUAGAGCACUGUUUCGGCUAGGGGGUCAUCCCGACUUACCAACCCGAUGCAAACUACGAAUACCGAAGAAUGUUAUCACGGGAGACACACGGCGGGUGCUAACGUCCGUCGUGAAGAGGGAAACAACCCAGACCGCCAGCUAAGGUCCCAAAGUCAUGGUUAAGUGGGAAACGAUGUGGGAAGGCACAGACAGCCAGGAUGUUGGCUUAGAAGCAGCCAUCAUUUAAAGAAAGCGUAAUAGCUCACUGGUCGAGUCGGCCUGCGCGGAAGAUGUAACGGGGCUAAACCAUGCACCGAAGCUGCGGCAGCGACACUAUGUGUUGUUGGGUAGGGGAGCGUUCUGUAAGCCUGCGAAGGUGACCUGUGAGGGUUGCUGGAGGUAUCAGAAGUGCGAAUGCUGACAUAAGUAACGAUAAAGCGGGUGAAAAGCCCGCUCGCCGGAAGACCAAGGGUUCCUGUCCAACGUUAAUCGGGGCAGGGUGAGUCGACCCCUAAGGCGAGGCCGAAAGGCGUAGUCGAUGGGAAACAGGUUAAUAUUCCUGUACUUGGUGUUACUGCGAAGGGGGGACGGAGAAGGCUAUGUUAGCCGGGCGACGGUUGUCCCGGUUUAAGCAUGUAGGCUGGUUAUCCAGGCAAAUCCGGAUAAUCAAGGCUGAGGUGUGAUGACGAGGCACUACGGUGCUGAAGUAACAAAUGCCCUGCUUCCAGGAAAAGCCUCUAAGCAUCAGGUAACAUUAAAUCGUACCCCAAACCGACACAGGUGGUCAGGUAGAGAAUACCAAGGCGCUUGAGAGAACUCGGGUGAAGGAACUAGGCAAAAUGGUGCCGUAACUUCGGGAGAAGGCACGCUGGUGUGUAGGUGAAGUCCCUGCGGAUGGAGCUGAGACCAGUCGAAGAUACCAGCUGGCUGCAACUGUUUAUUAAAAACACAGCACUGUGCAAACACGAAAGUGGACGUAUACGGUGUGACGCCUGCCCGGUGCCGGAAGGUUAAUUGAUGGGGUUAUCCGUAAGGAGAAGCUCUUGAUCGAAGCCCCGGUAAACGGCGGCCGUAACUAUAACGGUCCUAAGGUAGCGAAAUUCCUUGUCGGGUAAGUUCCGACCUGCACGAAUGGCGUAAUGAUGGCCAGGCUGUCUCCACCCGAGACUCAGUGAAAUUGAACUCGCUGUGAAGAUGCAGUGUACCCGCGGCAAGACGGAAAGACCCCGUGAACCUUUACUAUAGCUUGACACUGAACAUUGAGCCUUGAUGUGUAGGAUAGGUGGGAGGCUUUGAAGCGUGGACGCCAGUCUGCGUGGAGCCAACCUUGAAAUACCACCCUUUAAUGUUUGAUGUUCUAACGUUGGCCCCUUACCGGGGUUGCGGACAGUGUCUGGUGGGUAGUUUGACUGGGGCGGUCUCCUCCCAAAGCGUAACGGAGGAGCACGAAGGUUAGCUAAUCCUGGUCGGACAUCAGGAGGUUAGUGCAAUGGCAUAAGCUAGCUUGACUGCGAGCGUGACGGCGCGAGCAGGUGCGAAAGCAGGUCAUAGUGAUCCGGUGGUUCUGAAUGGAAGGGCCAUCGCUCAACGGAUAAAAGGUACUCCGGGGAUAACAGGCUGAUACCGCCCAAGAGUUCAUAUCGACGGCGGUGUUUGGCACCUCGAUGUCGGCUCAUCACAUCCUGGGGCUGAAGUAGGUCCCAAGGGUAUGGCUGUUCGCCAUUUAAAGUGGUACGCGAGCUGGGUUUAGAACGUCGUGAGACAGUUCGGUCCCUAUCUGCCGUGGGCGCUGGAGAAUUGAGGGGGGCUGCUCCUAGUACGAGAGGACCGGAGUGGACGCAUCACUGGUGUUCGGGUUGUCAUGCCAAUGGCACUGCCCGGUAGCUAAAUGCGGAAGAGAUAAGUGCUGAAAGCAUCUAAGCACGAAACUUGCCCCGAGAUGAGUUCUCCCUGAGACUUUAAGUCUCCUGAAGGAACGUUAAAGACGAUGACGUUGAUAGGCCGGGUGUGUAAGCGCAGCGAUGCGUUGAGCUAACCGGUACUAAUGAACCGUGAGGCUUAACCUU